GAUGAAGAACGUAGCGAAAUGCGAUAAGUAAUGUGAAUUGCAGAAUUCAGUGAAUCAUCGAAUCUUUGAACGCACAUUGCGCCCGCCAGUAUUCCGGCGGGCAUGCCUGUUCGAGCGUCAUUUCAACCAUCAAGCCCCCGGCUUGUGUUGGGGACCUGCGGCUGCCGCAGGCCCUGAAAAGCAGUGGCGGGCUCGCUGUCACACCGAGCGUAGUAGCAUACAUCUCGCUCUGGGCGUGCUGCGGGUUCCGGCCGUUAAACCACCUUCAUAACCCAAGGUUGACCUCGGAUCAGGUAGGAAGACCCGCUGAACUUAAGCAUAUCAAUAAGCGGAGGA
Molecule: unclassified non-coding RNA, 336 nt
Filed under: soil metagenome
Description: partial contains 5.8S ribosomal RNA, internal transcribed spacer 2, and large subunit ribosomal RNA
Rfam family: 5.8S ribosomal RNA (bases 1-120)
Source: RNAcentral